This 369-nucleotide ribosomal RNA is filed under the name uncultured beta proteobacterium. RNAcentral describes it as "bacterial SSU rRNA". It matches the Rfam family "Bacterial small subunit ribosomal RNA", at positions 260 to 622 of the family's 1533-position model. Lineage: Bacteria; Pseudomonadati; Pseudomonadota; Betaproteobacteria. The record is from RNAcentral.
AUAGCCUACCUGGCGACGAUCUGUAGCGGGUCUGAGAGGAUGAUCCGCCACACUGGAACUGAGACACGGUCCAGACUCCUACGGGAGGCAGCAGUGGGGAAUUUUGGACAAUGGGGGCAACCCUGAUCCAGCCAUGCCGCGUGAGUGAAGAAGGCCUUCGGGUUGUAAAGCUCUUUCAGCCGGGAAGAAAUCGUACAGGCUAAUACCCUGUGCGGAUGACGGUACCGGAAUAAGAAGCACCGGCUAACUACGUGCCAGCAGCCGCGGUAAUACGUAGGGUGCGAGCGUUAAUCGGAAUUACUGGGCGUAAAGCGUGCGCAGGCGGUUUUGUAAGACAGGCGUGAAAUCCCCGGGCUUAACCUGGGAACU